CGACCCAGAGGGGCCAGGCCGCCGUUUUCCGGUCAUAAAUGGAAAAAAAUAAAUAAAAAUUCAACAGCAAAGGACAAAGAGUCUGGCAGGUCAGGCUGCCUGCUGGGGUUUUAGCAGAGCCGUGACUUGCAGCCACGUCAGCCGCCUGCCUUACCACCUCCAGGGACAUUAAAAGAACGCCAGUCUUUAAAAACGGCGUGAGAACCAGCGUUUUGGGAUUUCAGAGGAAAAUGGCGGCUGAAAGCGCAUCUCCAUGUGCUGCACUGACCGACUUAAGCUCAGUGACCAGUGAUGAGAACCAGGUUGAUUUUGCAGAGCCUGAGCUCCAGUUUACAGUUCAUCCUCCUCCUCUGUGAUUCUGUGAUUCUUAAUUUAUCAUCAACGCCGUGUUUCCUAAUCAGCUGACGGCGCUGCAGGAAUGGUGUGGAUGUCAUAAAAGUACCGGUUCAUAUUAAAACAGGGGUAAAAGAAAACUAAACCCUGGAGUCUUAAACGCUACGCUCAAGCUGUCCCGAUUGGCUGUGAGGCCCUCGUGAGCCCGCCUCCAACUCCUCCUCCCCUUUGGUGCUCUGAGUUUUACCCACAGCUGCUUUAAUUGCAUCUUUUUUCUCCUUAGACUAAUUUUUUUGCCCCAAAGAGUCUGAAACCAUACGAUUCUUAUAAGGUUUUAUUUCAACAAUCUUAAGUUUUAUAAAAAUCCAAAAAGCCAAGUACAGUGCCUGGAAUAAGUCUGGACUUUGACUAGGCCAAUCCAACACAUUUAAAUGUUUUCUCUUAAACCAGUCGCUCUAGCAGUCUGCUUUGGGUCAUUGUCCUGCUGGAAGGUGAACCUCCAUCCCAAUGUCUAACCACAGGCAGUCUGACAGCGGUUCUGACCCAGAACAUCCCUGAAUUUAGCCCCAACCAUCUUUCCCUCGACUCAGACAAGUUUCCUAGGCCCUGCUCUCACCAUGAUCAAUAAAUCAAUUAAUGGCACGAUUAUAUUUAUCACAUGAUUAAUUAAAAUAAGCGCGAUACUUUGCAGAUGCACACUUGCUCAUUUCCCCUUCUGUUUCCAUCUCCUCUCUCAGACGGGAUGACAAAAGGUUUCAGUACGCUGCUUCGGUGUCUGCUCACCCUUCUCGUUUCCUCAGUGUAGGCGCGUUAAGUCUGGCCGGGUUCCCACAGAAAAUGGGGGGAAUCCUGGUGGUAGUGGUCUGGUGGCUUGUGGGAAGUGAACGAGGAGCGCUGCGCGAUGCAGCUUAAAGGAGAGGCGCAUCCCUUAACCGGGUACCGUAGUGAGCGUCAGGCUAACGACAGCUAGCGUGUUAGCUAGCCUGUUAGACCGGGAGGAACUUUACCGACCCUUUUAUGUUACUCUCAAACAUCCAAG
This is a long non-coding RNA of Fundulus heteroclitus (mummichog), 1372 nucleotides long. RefSeq lists it as uncharacterized. NCBI's taxonomy places the organism in Eukaryota, Metazoa, Chordata, Actinopteri, Cyprinodontiformes, Fundulidae. The record is from RefSeq and is a predicted model, not a curated record. The transcript has 2 exons.